RNAcentral lists this long non-coding RNA (1535 nucleotides) under Canis lupus familiaris (dog). RNAcentral's name for it is "mitotic spindle positioning (ENSCAFG00000029882.3)". Lineage: Eukaryota; Metazoa; Chordata; Mammalia; Carnivora; Canidae. The record is from RNAcentral.
AGUGCUGCCCCCGGGGACCAGCCGCCGGUCCCCCCACCCGCUGUGCCCCCUGCCCCUGCGUCGGGGCCACCACAGCCCUUCUGGGCGCGGGGAACUCGGACCCUUACUGCCUGCCGGGGGCGGACUUUGGGGGGACCUGCUUUCGGGGCCGUGAGUGAGGUCUACCUGCUGCCUCUUGACCACACAGUGAAGGUUUGGGACAGACAGACAGAAAGAGGGGUUCGUCUGAGCGUGCAGAUAGCCAGCCACUUCCCUGGGUUUGCGGAGUACGUUUUUUGAACUGAGUCCGAAAUGUCCGGCCCUGGCACUUGGCCUGCUGUGGGUCUCAGUGUGGCUUAGCCCGUCGCUUGGUGCUAUUACCAGAGGUAGAGGGUCUGAAAUAGGGGAGGGGAAAGGCCUGAGCUGCCCAUGUUCUAGAUCCCUCCUGGGAGUUGGGACCCUGAUGGGGACCCCGCGCCUCCUCCCGCAGGUCCUGGAAGCCACGCGGGUGACCCACCACAAGAACGCCAUGGCACAGCGCUGGGAAGCGGGCAUCUUCAGCAAGGACUGAGCCGGCGGCCUCCGAGCGCCUCCCUCCCGCAGGACCGCGUGCAGCUCCGGGAGGCAGGACGCGCUGGGCGCCGGGAAACCUGCGGGGGCCCUGGGAGCGGCGGGAGCUCGGGUCCCUGCGGCCGCGCCAGCAGCACGCCUGCCCGGAGUCAGCACAGAGGGGACGGGGGGGGGCGCUGCCCCCCGACUCCCCGGCCCCCCUGCCUGCCCGCCUCGGCAGGGACGUGACCCCGCGCUGUCCUCCACCCUCCGACCCGGAGGCACCUGCAGCUCAGCGUGAGCGGGAGAAACCGGGAGGUGACCUGCACGCCCGGGAUCAAGGGAAGCCCUUCUCACCGGGAUGAGGGGCGCCGGGACCCUCCUGAGAAACAGGCGACCCUACUGCACCAGCGUCCAAAGCUCCGACGGUUAAGUGAAGCCCAUGAGCGGGCAUAGAUCACAGGGAGGCCCGCCUGCCAUCUGAGCUGGGGGUGCGGCCGCGGGCAAGGGGGGUCACUAACAGCAGGAGCUGGGGGGGGGCUCACCCGGAAAUGCUGCACCACUGGGGCUGACCAAGACCUUUUUUUAUUAAAACCUGGGAUUCUGGGGCAGCCCAGGUGGCUCAGCAGUUUAGCGCCUGCCUUUGGCCCAGGUGUGAUCCUGGAGACCCGGGAUCAAGUCCCACGUCGGGCUCCCUGCGUGGAGCCUGCUUCUCCCUCUGCCUGGGUCUCUGCACCUCCCCCACCCCGUCUCUCAUGAAUAAAUAAAUAAAAUCUAAAAAAACAAAAAACAAAAAACCUGGGAUUCUGGCUGGUUUCAAGAAUUCGCUGUUCCCUGGCCAGGGUGGAUCGGGUUUUACGGAGCCGGAGCCCCGCUGGGCCCUGGCCCACGCCCUGAGCCUGCGGAGACGGAGCCCAACUCACAGCAAAGCCCAGAUGAACGGAGGCCACGGGCAGGCUGCCCGCUCCCCGCCUGCAGGGUGGCUGCUGUCACGGGUUCAACAGGGG